GAUGAACGCUGGCGGCGUGCCUAAUACAUGCAAGUCGAGCGAACAGACGAGGAGCUUGCUCCUCUGACGUUAGCGGCGGACGGGUGAGUAACACGUGGAUAACCUACCUAUAAGACUGGGAUAACUUCGGGAAACCGGAGCUAAUACCGGAUAAUAUAUUGAACCGCAUGGUUCAAUAGUGAAAGACGGUUUUGCUGUCACUUAUAGAUGGAUCCGCGCCGCAUUAGCUAGUUGGUAAGGUAACGGCUUACCAAGGCAACGAUGCGUAGCCGACCUGAGAGGGAGAGCAGGCACAAUGGAAAUGAGACACGGGGAAGACUCAAACGGGAGGCAGAGGGGGGGGAUAUGGGACAAGGGGCGAAAGACUGAACAAGAAAUGAAGCAGGGGUGAAGAAGGGUGUCGGAUUGUAAGGCAAUUUAAGUGGGGAAGAAGGGAAGGAAGGGAAUAAAUUGAGGUGUAGCAGUCACGAAAAGAAUAAGACAAGGACAACGGAGUG
RNAcentral lists this ribosomal RNA (497 nucleotides) under uncultured bacterium. Its description in RNAcentral is "partial 16S ribosomal RNA". The stretch from base 16 to 379 matches the Rfam family "Bacterial small subunit ribosomal RNA", at positions 43 to 396 of the family's 1533-position model. The record is from RNAcentral.